RNAcentral lists this ribosomal RNA (467 nucleotides) under uncultured bacterium. Its description in RNAcentral is "partial 16S ribosomal RNA". It matches the Rfam family "Bacterial small subunit ribosomal RNA", at positions 28 to 506 of the family's 1533-position model. The record is from RNAcentral.
GACGAACGCUGGCGGCGUGCUUAACACAUGCAAGUCGAACGGAAAGGCCCUGCUUUUGUGGGGUGCUCGAGUGGCGAACGGGUGAGUAACACGUGAGUAACCUGCCCUUGACUUUGGGAUAACUUCAGGAAACUGGGGCUAAUACCGGAUAGGAGCUCCUGCUGCAUGGUGGGGGUUGGAAAGUUUCGGCGGUUGGGGAUGGACUCGCGGCUGAUCAGCUUGUUGGUGGGGUAGUGGCUUACCAAGGCUUUGACGGGUAGCCGGCCUGAGAGGGUGACCGGCCACAUUGGGACUGAGAUACGGCCCAGACUCCUACGGGAGGCAGCAGUGGGGAAUAUUGCACAAUGGGCGGAAGCCUGAUGCAGCAACGCCGCGUGCGGGAUGACGGCCUUCGGGUUGUAAACCGCUUUCGCCUGUGACGAAGCGUGAGUGACGGUAAUGGGUAAAGAAGCACCGGCUAACUACGU